GCACCCGUAGCUCAGCUGGAUAGAGCACUGCCCUCCGAAGGCAGGGGUCACACGUUCGAAUCGUGUCGGGUGCACCA
This 77-nucleotide transfer RNA is filed under the name Sphingomonas natans. Its description in RNAcentral is "tRNA-Arg". It matches the Rfam family "tRNA". Rfam says of the family: Transfer RNA (tRNA) molecules are approximately 80 nucleotides in length. Their secondary structure includes four short double-helical elements and three loops (D, anti-codon, and T loops). The record is from RNAcentral. Lineage: Bacteria; Pseudomonadati; Pseudomonadota; Alphaproteobacteria; Sphingomonadales; Sphingomonadaceae.